Molecule: ribosomal RNA, 401 nt
Filed under: uncultured Glomeromycotina
Lineage: Eukaryota; Fungi; Glomeromycota
Description: bacterial SSU rRNA
Rfam family: Eukaryotic small subunit ribosomal RNA
Source: RNAcentral
AGCAGCCGCGGUAAUUCCAGCUCCAAUAGCGUAUAUUAAAGUUGUUGCAGUUAAAAAGCUCGUAGUUGAAUUUCGGGAUUGACUCAUCGGUCGUGCCUUAAGGGGUAUGAACUGGUGUAGUCAGUCUCUCACCUUCUGGAGAACCGCGAUGUCCUUAAUUGGGUGCCGCGAGGAACCAGGACCUUUACUUUGAAAAAAUUAGAGUGUUUAAAGCAGGCUUGUGCUAUGAAUACAUUAGCAUGGAAUAAUAAUUUAGGACAUUGGUUCUAUUUUGUUGGUUUCUAGGACUGAAGUAAUGAUUGAUAGGGAUAGUUGGGGGUGCUAGUAUUCAGCGGCCAGAGGUGAAAUUCUUGGAUUCGCUGAAGACUAACUUAUGCGAAAGCAUUCACCAAGGAUGUCUU